This 718-nucleotide unclassified non-coding RNA is filed under the name Daphnia magna. RNAcentral describes it as "uncharacterized LOC116917726, transcript variant X2". Lineage: Eukaryota; Metazoa; Arthropoda; Branchiopoda; Diplostraca; Daphniidae. The record is from RNAcentral.
AAUAUAAUGAAUAUUUUGUGUUUCUGCAUCCCAACAGCAAGGCUCUACUGUUUUGACUAAAGUCAAAAGUGUUUCAUGUGUGUUGAAAAAUGUGUUUCAUGUUUUGAAAUAUUAUGUCACUAUCGAAUUAUGUUAGUGGGCUUUCAGUAGAAGCCAAAAAAAAAUACAUUGAUAAAUUGGAUAUUCUUCAGUGUGAUUGCCCUUACAGUUUAUCUAAAGAUUUGUGGAAACAAGGACUUCACUGUUGCACAAUUAUUCCCAAAAUAGAUCAUGGGGAUAUAUUUGCCUACUUAGUUUUCUCCAGAAGUAAUUUAGAUGUUGAGAAAACAAAGAAAGCCUACAAAGGUCUCAAAGCUGAGUCAAAACAAGCAGUGAACGAUGGGUGGCUGAAACAAUUUAUGGCAAUGUGUUUGUCAUCAGGCGUGGUUUUAGUUCAAGCUAAGGUAACUCCAUCUCAAGCUAUCAGCGAUACUCCUCACUCACCAUGGGCUGCAAUUGGUGUUGAUGGUUGUGUAAUAUACGCUCAUUGUACCUGUGCUGUAGGGUAAUACUUAAAGUAUUAACAAGAAAAUACUUAAUACUUCAUGAAAUAUGUCAGUGUAUAUUCAGUCGAAAUUCAUGAGGGUAAAGGACGUACCGAGGAUAAGUGUACUUGGGCAGAUCUUUCUUCGCAGCCAGUAAUAUCAAUAACAAAAAAGUUUUUAUCUAUCAAAUUAAU